CCUCAGUGAAGCCUGAAUUCGAGUAGGCUGGCAAGCCCCAGGAAGAAGGCUGGCAGUCAGAGUGGCCACUACAGCUCUCUGCAGCAGACCCUCUUCCCAGGCCAGACAGCUCAGCCUUUGCCAGCCACUCCAGUGGGUUCAGUAUUGGCUUAAUGCUGUGCAGAAUGCCGACCAUUGGGAAUAUUCUGGAAUCAGUACUGUGAGAAUUGCAGUUUAAGCUGGAAGGAUCGAGUGUUUGACUCACAUGGCUCUUCAGACUGUUCAAAAUAGGAUCUCCAUGAAACCUGCUCUUCAGCUGAGUAUCGGAAAGAGGUUCACAACUGGGAAGCCAGGAGAAAAUAAAAAGAAGCUCACUUAAAAAAAAAAUCUGAAUAAACUUGCUUGUAAACCCCAGCUCAAGAUUUAAUGGCAUGGGAAGAACCAUGGGCCUGAAUAAUAACUGGUCUAACACAGGCUGCUGAUACCUAUGGUGGUCUUGAAAAUGAUUCUUGAGUUACUGAAGAUGUCAUGCUAAUUGAGUUACUGAAGAUGUCAUGGUAAUUGUAUAUUUUUUUCUAUACAUCAACUCAAGUUUCAAAAUAUUGUAGUGCUCUUCAGAAUUGCUUCAGAUUCUGCUGUGGUAGAAAAAAUAAAUUAAUCUAUGGUCACUGUAUUUUCAUGUUCAUAGUUGUAAACUGCCCAGGGCUAGAUUGAGUGGUAUAAAAAUGUAACAAAUAAAUAAGUUAAAAAAAUGAUUGGGAUCAGAGGGUGCACUCAACCAGGCGAAUAGAGCUAGGGCAGUACCUACUAUGAUGCUUGCGCAAGCACAAUGUUUGCACAAGCAGACCAAGAGUACAAGAAACUGAGCAGCUUUUAGUGUCUGCUCAGCUACAUGACCUUCUUGCAUGUGUGCAGCUUUGUUCAUUGCACUAGUGUCAGUCACUGUAAUUGCAUAGCCAGAGCAUCACAUCACAUCCCUAAGUCAAAUGUAUUGGCUCCAAGCAAAAAUUCUUGCUCAUGUCAGUAUCAAAGAGGACCACACUGUUCUUCUCCUUAAGCCCUUAAGAAUGUAAUGUGUUUCAGGUUUCCGCCCCCUGGACAUAACAGAUGAACGACUCUGCAUACACAUGUUUAGCAUAAUACCAAGUAAAUUUUUUGUUGUUGCUUUAAAUUCAUUUAAAACACUGCUAGAUGUUUCACAUGAAAUCACAUAAACAAGCCCUAAAAGUUGAAAGAGGCUCAAGUGGUCAUCUACCAGUGCAACUGAAUCCUCUUCUUACUGAUGAAGUGCCACCCACCUUUUAAUACCUCUCCUUUUUAACAGAAUUGUUCAUGCUUUUGCCAUAAAAUUCAACUGGUCUCGAACAUCGCUGCUGCAUACUUCUUGCCACUCUGCUAAUGAAUGUCUCCCAGACAACAUUCAUUUUUAUAGGCAUCAUAAAAGUACUAGCUUAUUUGCUUUGCAAAAGUAAGAUUUUAUUGGAUGUGUAUGCUUCAUUCUGUUAAUUAAGAAAUAUCUGCUGUAUCCUUGAGCUUUGUCAUCUUAAGUUUUGUUUGUAACAGUAUUAAGGUUUUUCAUGGUAACAAUGAAGGUGGAUACACACAACAAGAAGUCAAGUAGCUGUAGCUUGAAAGCUUGUUGUGUGACACUCCUUAUCGAUGUAGAUGGGUGAUGGUUGCCUGCAGUCUUUGAUCAUGUGGCUAAGCCACUAUUGUCACCCAUUCACUUCCCUAGAUUUCUUGUAUAGAGAGAGGACUGGGCUUGUUUGCAUGUUCAGAUGCUAUGGACCAAACAUGGUUGCAGCCACACCAACCUAGCGUAUUAUGGGUUUGCAUUCCUUCUGCUUCUUGGCACACUUCAAAUGUCUUAUGCCUGCAAGCAUAGAUUCCAGGUGGAUAUUGACUGAAUAAAUUAAAGGUUGACUACAUAAAGGCUAGAUUCAGAUUCAUUAAACUCAACUGCAGCUCUGUCUUGAGCAGUCUCAGGCUUUAGGUGUGCUGUUGAACUGGGCACCUCUUGUUUUCCAUUUUAUGUAGAAAUUUUAUGUAGUUUUAUACAUUGCAUUUGUGGUGGCAACAUCGUGGAAAA
Hemicordylus capensis (graceful crag lizard) is the source of this 2068-nucleotide long non-coding RNA. RefSeq lists it as uncharacterized. NCBI's taxonomy places the organism in Eukaryota, Metazoa, Chordata, Lepidosauria, Squamata, Cordylidae. The transcript has 3 exons. The record is from RefSeq and is a predicted model, not a curated record.